AGUACUAUCCGGGAGACACACGGCGGGUGCUAACGUCCGUCGUGGAUAGGGAAACAUCCCAGACCGCCAGCUAAGGUCCCAAAUUACUUCUAAGUGGGAAACGAUGUGGGAAGGCUCAGACAGCCAGGAUGUUGGCUUAGAAGCAGCCAUCAUUUAAAGAAAGCGUAAUAGCUCACUGGUCGAGUCGGCCUGCGCGGAAGAUGUAACGGGGCUAAGUAGUAAACCGAAGCUGCGGCAAUGCACUUUGUG
This 249-nucleotide ribosomal RNA is filed under the name Vibrio parahaemolyticus. Its description in RNAcentral is "partial 23S ribosomal RNA". It matches the Rfam family "Bacterial large subunit ribosomal RNA", at positions 969 to 1219 of the family's 2925-position model. Lineage: Bacteria; Pseudomonadati; Pseudomonadota; Gammaproteobacteria; Vibrionales; Vibrionaceae. The record is from RNAcentral.